UAUUGCAGAUGCUACAAUUGAUUUGCUGUUUACCAAAAAUAGGGAAACAAAUGCUGUACAUGUAAAUGUAGGAGCUGGCUCAUAUUUAGAAAUUAAUAUUCCAAUGACAGUUGAAGAAAAUGGUUACACUCCUGCUAUUAAGGGACAACUCUUACAUGUGGAUGCCACUACCAGCAUGCAAUAUCGGACCCUUUUAGAAGCAGAAAUGUUAGCAUUCCACAUCAAUGCCAGCUACCCCCGAAUAUGGAACAUGCCGCAGACAUGGCAGUGUGAAUUAGAGGUUUAUAAAGCCACUUACCACUUCAUCUUUGCACAGAAAAACUUCUUUACAGAUUUAAUUCAAGACUGGUCUAGUGACAGUCCUCCAGACAUUUUUUCAUUUGUUCCAUAUACGUGGAAUUUUAAAAUCAUGUUUCAUCAGUUUGAAAUGAUUUGGGCUGCUAAUCAGCACAAUUGGAUCGACUGUUCUACUAAACAACAGGAAAAUGUGUAUCUGGCAGCCUGUGGAGAAACACUAAACAUUGAUUUUUCUUUGCCUUUUACGGACUUUGUUCCAGCUACAUGUAAUACCAAGUUCUCUUUAAGAGGAGAAGAUGUUGAUCUUCAUUUGUUUCUACCAGAUUGCCACCCUAGUCUGGUUGGGUUGAAUGCUGGACUGUCCCAAGUGUCAUGCUUACAAUUGAUUAUACAUGGCAUCCAAUUUAUCCACAAAAAGCAGAUGAACAGCUAAAACAAUCAUUAUCAGAAAUGGAAGAGACAAUGCUAUCUGUAUUAAGGCCAUCCCAGAAGACAUCAGACAGAGUUGUUUCUUCUCCCUCCACUUCUUCACGCCCACCUAUUGAUCCCUCAGAACUUCCAUCUGAUAAACUUCAUGUAGAAAUGGAACUUUCUCCAGAUUCUCAGAUAACUCUCUAUGGACCUCUACUAAAUGCCUUUUUGUGUAUAAAGGAAAACUACUUUGGGGAAGAUGACAUGUAUGUGGAUUUUGAAGAGGUUAUCUCAAGUCCUGUUUUGUCACUGUCAACAUCAUCCAGCUCUGGGUGGACUGCUGUUGGAAUGGAAAAUGACAAAAAGGAAAAUGAAGGUUCAGCCAAGUCAAUUCAUCCACUUGCCUUGCGUCCUUGGGAUAUUACUGUACUUGUUAAUUUGUACAAAGUUCAUGGGCGUCUUCCUGUUCAUGGAACUACUGAUGGUCCUGAAUGCCCUACAGCUUUCUUGGAAAGACUAUGUUUUGAAAUGAAAAAAGGAUUUAGGGAGACCAUGCUGCAACUUAUCCUGUCACCCCUGAAUGUGUUUGUCAGUGAUAACUAUCAGCGACCCCCUGUGGAUGAAGUACUCAGGGAAGGUCACAUCAAUUUGUCAGGUCUCCAGCUGAGAGCACACGCUAUGUUCUCAGCAGAAGGUCUUCCUUUGGGAAGCGAUUCCUUAGAAUACGCAUGGUUAAUUGAUGUGCAGGCUGGAAGUCUUACAGCUAAGGUCACAGCACCACAGCUGGCAUGCCUCUUGGAGUGGGGACAGACAUUUGUUUUUCAUGUGGUAUGUCGGGAGUAUGAACUGGAAAGACCAAAAUCAGUAAUAAUAUGUCAGCAUGGAAUUGAUCGUCGGUUCUGUGAAUCCAAGUUGAGUUGUAUUCCUGGGCCUUGUCCAACUUCAGAUGAUUUGAAAUAUACUAUGAUUCGUUUAGCAGUAGAUGGAGCCGAUAUUUACAUUGUUGAGCAUGGUUGUGCUACAAAUAUAAAGAUGGGUGCAAUUCGAGUUGCAAACUGUAAUCUCCACAAUCAAUCGGUUGGGGAAGGAAUCAGUGCUGCAAUUCAGGAUUUUCAAGUGAGACAGUACAUUGAGCAAUUAAAUAAUUGCAGAAUUGGACUUCAGCCUGCAGUGCUACGGAGGGCCUAUUGGCUUGAAGCUGGGUCAGCCAAUUUAGGACUUAUUACUGUUGAUAUUGCUUUAGCUGCUGACCAUCAUUCUAAACAUGAGGCACAAAGACAUUUCUUAGAAACUCAUGAUGCCAGAACUAAGAGGUUGUGGUUUUUAUGGCCAGAUGAUAUCCUGAAGAAUAAGAGGUGUAGAAACAAAUGUGGUUGUCUCGGUGGCUGCAGAUUCUUUGGUGGCACAGUAACUGGCCUAGAUUUCUUCAAACUUGAAGAGUUGACACCUUCCAGUAGCUCUGCAUUUUCAAGCACAAGUGCAGAGUCUGAUAUGUAUUAUGGACAGUCUCUGCUACAGCCUGGAGAAUGGAUAAUUACUAAAGAAAUUCCCAAAAUUAUAGAUGGUAAUGUGAAUGGCAUGAAGAGGAAAGAAUGGGAAAACAAAUCAGUGGGAAUAGAAGUAGAGAGAAAAACUCAGCACCUUAGUCUUCAAGUACCAUUACGAUCUCAUAGUUCAUCCUCUUCCUCAGAAGAGAACAGUAGUUCUAGUGCUGCACAGCCUUUGUUGGCUGGUGAAAAGGAAAGUCCUUCAUCUGUUGCUGAUGACCAUUUGGUUCAAAAAGAGUUCUUGCAUGGGACAAAAAGAGAUGAUUGCCAAGCAAGUAUCCCUACAGAAAUUUCAGGAAACAGCCCUGUGUCUCCUAAUACUCAGGAUAAGUCAGUAGGUCAAUCUCCUCUUAGAUCUCCCUUGAAACGACAAGCCUCUGUCUGUUCCACCCGUCUUGGAAGUACUAAGAGUCUUACUGCUGCUUUCUAUGGGGACAAGCAGCCUGUAACAGUUGGAGUCCAGUUUAGUAGUGAUGUCUCUCGAAGUGAUGAGAAUGUACUAGACUCACCAAAGCAGAGGAGAAGUUUUGGUUCAUUCCCAUAUACACCAUCAGCAGACUCUAAUUCAUUUCAUCAGUAUCGAUCGAUGGAUUCCAGCAUGUCAAUGGCUGAUAGUGAAGCCUACUUUUCUGCUGCUGAGGAAUUUGAGCCCAUUAGCAGUGAUGAAGGCCCUGGAACUUAUCCGGGUAG
Molecule: small RNA, 2945 nt
Filed under: Pan troglodytes (chimpanzee)
Lineage: Eukaryota; Metazoa; Chordata; Mammalia; Primates; Hominidae
Description: processed transcript
Source: RNAcentral